UUUUUUUUUCAAAUGAUAGUUUAUUAUUUCUUUUAUGACUAUCUCCUAACAGGCGAUUGGCUACUUCUCUUUGACAGGAGGAAAGCUUGCAUCACAAGUUAACAAACACAGUAGCCAAUUCUGGGACAACCUCAGCUGGGAGGCACCAGUUUAUUGUGAUUGGAUUUCUUCAAAGAUGCACCUAGAGUGAUAACAUUACCACUUGUUUAUAUUUCUAAUCUUAACUUUAUUAUUACUUAGAGCAUACAUAGUUAUCACUGUAUUGGACAGUGUAUCUUCUACAUUUCAAGGACAAAGUUAACCAACUAAAUAACACAAAAUAAAAUUGUUCUUUAUCUUUCUAUUUUUAUAGCACUUUCAUUCUUUAUUGUGUGAUUCUUAUGUCUCUGUCUUGCAUUUCAGGUCCUCUUCUUCUGUUCUACAAACCCCCUACCCCCAAGUCAUGUAUUUCACAUUGGAAUUAAAAAAAAUUAGUAAUUAUCUUCCCUUGAUAAGUAGGCUCAAAGAGAGUGAUUCUGAUGUUUAUUCUUCUCAAGCUUUUUGUUGUUUUAAUUGUGGUCUAGGCUGGGUACACUAGUACAUAGCUAUAAUUCCAGCACAUGGGAGGCUAAGGCAGGAGGACCAAGAGUUUGAGGCCAGUCUGGGCUACAUAGGAAAUCCUGUCUCAAAAAUUAUGGCUAAGUAUAUACCACAUGAAAUUUGCCAUUUUAAUCAUUUUUAAGUAUACAGUUUAAUGGCAUUAAAUAAAUUCACAUGGUUGUAUAACCAUCACCACUAUCACCAGAAGUUUUCAAUCAUUGUAAGCAGAAGCUCUGGCCCCGUUAAGCUCCCCGUGCCCUCUCCCCCCAGAUCUCGAUGACCUCUGUUCUGAUUUCUGUCCAUAUGCGUUUGUCUAUCCAUGGGCUUCAUGUGAGAAGGUCCUUCAAGGCUUUAAAGUGUCACCCUCAUGUGUCGUGUGUUAGGAUUUCCCUUCCUUUUUGUGGCUGGAUAUUCCUCCAUUAUAUACAUAUACCACAUAUUAAAAAAAUCUGUCUUCUGAUAGACAUUUGGGUUGUUUCAGCUUUUUUGGCUCUUGUCAGUAAUGCUGCUAUGAAUAUUAUUUCAGUACUUUUCAGUUAUUUUAGGUAUAUACUCAGAAGUAGAAGUGCUGGAUCAUAUGUUAAUUCCAUGUUUGUUUGAUGAACUACUGUGCUGUUUUCCACAGUGGCUCACCAUUUUACAUCUCCCCCCAAAUAUACAAAUAUUCUCAUUUUUCUAAAUUCUUUUCAACACUUCCUAUUUUAAUCUUUUUUUGUCUUUGCUAACAGUCAUUCUGAAGGGUAUGUAGUGAUCUUGUCAUGUUUUGAUUUGCAUUUUCCUUGUGACUAGUUAUGUUGAGCAUCAUUUCAUGUGCUUACCUGUCAUAUGUAUGUACGUUUUUAAAAAAUGUAUUGAACUCUUUUGCUGUAUUUGAAUUGUUUAGUUGUUAGUGUUUUCUUUAACUCCUGUGUUCUUAAUUAAUUUAAUUAAGUUAAAUUGAGAUUGCACUUAGAAUGUUAUGGGAAAAUUCAUUGCCAUAAGACACAAAUACAUAAAAAUUUUGGCAGGUUCUGUCUACCUUACAGUUUUCUGGUAACUUAUUUUUGCUCCAUUGCUGGAGAUAGUGGAGUAGAGUAGAAAUAGGCUGCGUUUUUACUUUACUGAGAGAGAAAUCAGGUGUUCAUAUUUAACAUACUUAUGGCGUGCACAUCUCCACCCUUUCCACCCACCUUGCCAUCUCUGGGAACAGGACUGUGUGUGCAGCUUGUAGUGUGGGAGCAUAGUAGUCAUAUCUUGCAUGCUUGCUUUUGAGAUGUCUGACCCAUACCCUUUACUUGUAGCACUGUGACCUCUGCCGUGUUCACUGUGGGAGAUAACGUUGUUUCAGGCAGUGAUGACCGCACAGUGAAAGUAUGGGACUUAAAAAAUAUGAGAUCCCCAAUUGCAACCAUUCGCACAGAUUCUGCAAUUAACAGAAUCAAUGUGUGUGUUGGCCAAAAAAUCAUAGCCCUCCCCCACGACAACCGACAAGUGCGAUUGUUUGAUAUGUCAGGUGUGCGACUAGCACGACUUCCCCGGAGCAGUCGACAGGGCCACAGAAGAAUGGUGUGCUGUUCGGCAUGGAGUGAAGACCACCCCAUGUGCAACCUGUUCACGUGUGGGUUUGACAGGCAAGCCAUUGGCUGGAACAUCAACAUUCCUGCAUUGUUACAAGAGAAAUAAGGUCACCACAUUCCUCAGUUUUGUGGUUUGCCAUGGACUUUGGAUUCAUGCAGGCUCUUUUGCACAUUAAUCUGCCAUUUUGUGAGCGUUUGACCCUUGGAAGGGUACUUUGUAUAUGUUCUUUUCACAUCGUGCCCAGCCUGCAUGAAAUGUACAGAAAGAUGUGCGAACAUAUUUUUUAUUUUUGUCUCGUGUGUAUAUAUUGACAUUCUCUGGUCAGUAGAAGUGAAGCUCACCCCCAUUAGCACACAAAAUGCUUGUGAGUUGUUGACAUCUGACAGAUGAGCAGUAGGGCAUUACAUUUGUGUGAGUUAAUGUGAACCUGUGUACUUACUGUGAGGCACACAUGGUCUGUUGCAUUUUCUGGAAUGAUUAUACAUAUCUACCUUGUACUGGGGAGGCUGCAGAGCUGCCAUUGUGUUGGCUAACGAAUGGCAGGAAUGAUCAAAGAUUUCACGUUGACUUCUGUGUGAUGUUUAGCAUGUGCUAAUGUGUAGUUCAAUUUCAACUAAUUUCUAUUAGAGUUAUGUAAAAAUAACCUGGAUUUUUGCAACAUUUGCAGAGAGUUUCUUUUGAAAAGAACAAGUUUCUGCUCUUUUUAUAGAAAAUCAUUUCAAUCUCUUGAGGUCUCAUACUAGCAAAUUCUAAAAUAUGAUUAUUCAAAUCUGAUUUUAGAUAUUAAGCAAAAUUUAAAGCACUUUAGUUUAUAGCUGUGGUUAUAAACAAUUUUUAGAAGUUUCAAAUGACUUAUCCAUUGAAUGUGACUUGACCUUUAUAGGAAGGCCCUGCUACCUGAAAACAGAAUCUUAUUUAUUUUCUACAUCUUGGGUUUGCAUAUUUCUAAAUGCGUUCACUUCCUUGGUGGUAUUUGAGAGCCAACAAUGCAAAUAAAUGAGUACUACCUCAAAAAUAUUUGGAAAACUUCAGUCUCACUGUUGCCUAGCUGAAGCACUUUGGAUUUAUAGCUGGAAUACUAAAUUCAGUGUAGAAGGCAAGAAAGACAAUCAAACCAAAUGUGUGCUAAGGUAAAAGGUUCUUCAUUUAGGCUAAUAAGAUGAUAACCAUGACAAAUACUUCAUAGGUAACAGGAUGUUUUUGUCUUGAGUAGCUGGGAUACCUCUCAUUGCCAAUCCUACUACUGCGUGAGUGAGCCUUUUAUUCUUGCCUUCUUAGAAAUUACUGUCCAUCUGAUAUUUGUAAGUUAAUAGUUCUUAUUGAGUUACAGUUUUGAUAAAGAGACAUCUCAAUUACUGCCCCUCAUAUUUUUAAUCCUUUAGAUGCAGCCAUUGGAGGGUGAUCACUUAGAGAGGCACAGGAAGGUAAUAUUAAACUUUCAUUGUAGCCCCACCCCACUCUCAGUUCCCUAGGUUUUCCAGUUUUCUGGUGUUGUAGGAGGGCAUCUGAGCCCGUAAUAGCCCUUUGGUUGGGUGUAGUACUACAGUGCAUGGGACGUUCUGGUGUCCUUUGCUGGAGCUUACCAAGAAUGAGAAAUGCCUCAUUAUUGGCACCUUUUACUUGGGUCUUAAGGAGCUGAUCUUAGGAACUUCAUACCUGACUCAUCUGAAUGAUUUUGAAAUGAUUGACAUGGCCAGGAAGCAGAGACCUGAGAAUAACCGAUAAGAACUUAUGCAGAGUUGAGGUUGCCAACUGAGGGACAUACCAGGAAUGUUUUAGAAUAAUUCUGUUUCAAAAAUUAGUUGUAGUUUUAAGCCUGACACCUUCUGAUCACAGGUCUGACCACAAUGUUUUUGAGAACUGAAGUCAGGCUGGUUAUAAUGGUUGGCUAGAAUUUCAAGUUUCAGCUCCUAUUGUCUGAGUGUAUUUUGCUUGAUGGAGUACUGUAUCACGAUAUUUGCUAUGGCCUAACUUUGUCUUACAGUGAGAGAUGUUUGCCAUAUCCCCUUACGCCACUGCAUAUGCAAAGUUACGAACAUAGAGGACUUCUAGUGAUGAGCUGCACAAGCCAUGUUCUUAGAUUCCUGGUAUUUGAGUUGAAAGUCUAGAUAUCUUAGAAUGAAUUGUUAAGAACGUUGAAAAAUGUAUCCACAUAGCUAAAUCAGACUUAAGAACAGAGCUCUGCCAGACAAAAAGAAUUUUGAAGCUUUUAAAAAUGGCCGUUGAUGAUGGCCAUUUAGUUCUCUGCAGACUAGUGACUUUCACUGCCAGUAGUUGCUCACCUUCUCUUGCUAACUGAAGGGGGUCAGCCUCCCGCACCAGAAACGAGGCUCCCCACUCAUUUCUACGAGGGCGAAGACCCUAACGGUGCUCAAGCAGAGUUCUCAGGAGCAGGAUGUGACUUACCGUAAACUGCUGUGUCACCUUCUAACGUGAUCUCAUCCCACUGCUGCUGUGGCCACAAGUGUUGUUAUUUUCAAGAGGUUUAUGAUCGGGGAUAGUGCGUGCACGUGUGUGUGCGUGUGUGUGUGGCUAAAAUUAAGUCACCUUAUCAGCCACAUGUGACCUCAUGUGAAAUAGUGUUUAGAAGUAGGAACACUAUUAUGUGUUGAAGUGUCCAGAAUUUCAUUUAAUAGUGGAAGGAAGGUGUGUGGUUACUAAAAAAAAUGUGUGUUGAUAGAAAAUUUUAGGAGAUUUGUUAUUAGGCACAGCAACACUCUUUCUCAGCCACUGCACAUCAAUUUCUGUAGAGUCAAAAGUUCUGUACAUAUUUUGGAAUCUGAAGCCUAUGUAAGUCAUUUGUUACUUAAAUCUGUGAAAAUAAGUCUCUUUGGAGGAGAAAGUAUGCAUUUAUAAGUGUUCUGUGGAAGCAGUUAUUUUUAUUGUAUUGAUGUAAUUGUUUUUAAGUGUUCCGUGUCUUCAUUGCAAUAUGAAAUUCAUUAAAACAUCCGUGUUCCAUAAUUACUCUUGUAAUUAUGUUAUGAGAGUCUUCCUAUUUUUACUUCUCUUCAUGUUUUACUUUGUGAACCAUUGUUAAUGGUUAUAGAAAUACCACAAUUGCCUAGAAAUUGAACAAGUUAUAAUGCCUAUUUGAAAAAAAUAAUUUUAGAUUUGGAAAUCCAAUUGCCUUAUAUUCUCUAACCAUCUCUUAUGCCAAAAUUGAAUAAUAAUUGUGCCUGUUCGUCCCUAUCACCACCCCACAAUUUCUGAGAGAACUGACAAUUGGAACUAAUACAAGCUUUUGCUAAAGUAUCUUAAUACUCUUAUUAUAGCAAGCUUACUUGAAGAUUAAAAAAAACAAACCUGUGGUUACACAAAGUCAGUGCCAUUUUCUCUAAGAGAAUGCAAAUCGAGAUGGGGUGACUACUUGUGCAUGGUUAUAUUCUAAUCUAAUGAAGUGUAUGGUUGUUAGAGAAACCCCAGAAGAUGUUAAAGUUCUCCUGGAUAUCUCCUUGCUUGUUAGCAACUCCUUUCUCAGACCUGGAAGGCUCACUGCUUAAAUUGUUACAGUGUUGUAAUAUUCAGACCUCACCAGAAAUUUCUCUUCUGCCUGCUUACCUUAUUACCUUACUCCUCAGAAAACAUGUGAUUAUCUAAAGUUCAUAAUUGAAUUUUUUUUUUUUUGUCUUUUCUUUUUUUGGUGCUGGGAAUUGGACCCAGGGCCUUAUGCAUGCUAGGCAAGCGCUCUACCACUGAGCUACAUCCCAGCCCUAAAGUUCUUAAUUACGCCUCCAGCUAAUUUAAAGGUUUAUGUUAUAUUAGUGUAAAGAAUUGAGAAGAAAAGACUUACAUUGUUAUGAUUUAAUCAAAAGCUGCUAAAAUAGCUCUUUCCCUUACUAUCCUUAGAUUUGGGUUUUCUCCUAAUGUAGAAUUUUGUAGAUUAUUUGAAAAAUUGGGAACAUCUCAAUCAUGCAACAAGUAUUAUAUAGUCCAUAUAUAAUAUGGUGGGAAGAAGCUGAAAAUGAACUCAGAUAAAAGUUGUAUAAUUUAAAAUUAAUUUUAUUAAAGUAGCUUUUGUUAAGCAGCUUUUGGUCAAAAUGAAACCAGAUUAAACAAAUCUUUGGAGCUGUAAGUGGUCCACAUGAAAUAUAGGGUAGAAUUUUGGGGGGGACCUAUAUAUGAUUUGGGCUGCAAUAGAGAAUUGUGAGGGAACUCCUUUAGGUGAUUUGGCCGAGUAGGCUUUUCUAAGGAGGUGACAUUUAACUGAGUCCUAAAAGUUGACAAAUGUGUCCAGGAAAUUGCAGAAACAAUUCCAGGUGAGGGAAUGCCACACAGAAAGGUGCUGAGAAAGAGCUUGGGACACUGCUUGUGCUGGUGGACAAUGAGCACAGUUUGACGUGGGGACCCCUCCCAGGGGAAGACUGGGGGUGAACAGGCACACACAGUGCCACUCAGAGGCCUUUGGGAGGAGUAUGGGUUUUAUCCAUAUCCACCGGCUUCCAUGUGGAGAUGGACUAGACAGGUGAAGAUUAGAGUCAGGUUGGUGGUGGAGUCAUCCAGGUGAAAGAGGCAGGUGACCAGCCUGUGUGGAUGGCAACAAAAGAAGGGUGGCUUUCAGGUCUGUUUUGGUGGCAGCACAGGCAAUUCUUGUUGGAAGGAAGGGUUCAGAAUGCAUCCGUAAAGAACACUUCUGCUGAAGGUACAGCUUUGACUUCACAGGCAUUCCUCAGUAUACCCAAUGGAUGUUUUGGGUAUUUUUUAUUAGUAUAAAAUAGUACGGGGGGGGGGAUACAUUGUGAGGUUUAUAUGUGUGCUCACAGUAUAUCUUAAUUAGAUUCACCCCCUUCAUCAUUUUCCCUCAUUCCCUUUCUUAGAACAAUUUCAACAGGUUUCAUUAUUCUGUUUUCACACAUGAAUUCACCAUUUUUACCCUCCUUUACCCUUUCCUUAUGCCCUCCCCUCCCACUGGUACCCACUCCUGGAAAGGACCUAAUUUACCCAAGGAUAUUUUAAGCCCUGACAAAAUAUCUGUUAAGGAUUUCCCCUUAAAAACAAAAAAGGUAGAUACCACUUUGGGAAUUUGAAUCACACCAGGCAUUAGGGUUAUGUUACCUUGCUAAAUUGAUCUGUGACCUACAGGUAGUAGAUAUUUUGUCAUCACCACUUUCCAAAUGCUGUCACUCUCAUUGCACUGUGCCCAUCCCACACCCACAUAGGUACUGCAGAAGUUGUCACUUUCUGGUACCUGACUCUUUAUCCAGGUACAGUUGAUUGGUUGAGGUGAGGGGGUACCUAACUGAAUUUUUCAGGAUCUUCCCUUGAAAAUUUUGGACCAAGAACUGGGAAAGCUAGUCUCUUGUAGACUAGCCCAGGAAUUAUCAGUGACCAUGUUAGUGUGAAAAUAACAUGAAAUGCUUUAAAGAGCUAAGAAAAAGUUAUUAAAAUUGUAUACUUAACAACAAUAAUAAUAACACCCUACCUUUCAGGAAUGAGUGUGAAAUAAAGAUACUUUGAAAAUCAAAAGAGUUUUCACCAAUGUAUGCCUUUCCUAAUGGAACUCCCCCCCCUGCCCCACAUGCCCGCAUGCCCUUUUGGGGAUAGUUCUGGGGUUUGAACUUGGCUUUUGCUUGCUACACAGGUGCUUUACCACUUGAGCUGUGCCUCCAUCCUUUUUUUUCUUUAUUUUUCAGAUAGUGUCUCUCAUUUAUGCCUGGGCCAGCCUUGGCCUGUGACCUUCCUGUGUACUUCCCUCAUAGUUGGUAUUCAGGUGUAAUCCUGCUCUUUGGUUGAGGUGGAUCUUGCUAACUUUUUACCCAGACUGGCCUCAAACCAUGAUCCUCUCAAUCUCCCCCUCCCAAGUAGCUGGGUUUAUUAGAUGGAACGUGAGAGUGGCAUGAUACAUCCUAGUAAAACUUCUUAAGAAGAUACUGUCAGAAGAAACAGUUAUGAAAAAGGUUUUUAAAUUUGGCAAAAUGCCAAAACACAUUACAUGAGAUGUACAAUUACAGUUAGUGAUUUAAAUAUUACAUAGCAGGAAAAGUCAGGGAUCCACACACAGCUACAUGCAAUGCUUUUUCUUUUCUUUUGAGACAGAGCCUCUUUAUAUUGUUACCCAGGAUGGGCUCAGGUGGUCCUUUCGUCUCAGACUCCAGAGUGCUGGGCUUGCAGGUGUAUGCCACCAUGCCCAGCCUACCUGCAAUCCUUGACCUUGGGAACAUAAUUUUGAAUGAAAAAGAAGCCACUGGUACUACAUACUAUACGAAGUAUACCUUUUUUAUAAGGCACAAAAUGCAAAACAAAGCGCUGUCUAUUCAUCUAUGUAUACAUGUAUGUACCAUCUAUCAAUUACUAAUAUUUGUAUUACUAAUACAAAUAUAUCAAUUACUAAUAUUUCGGAACAUGGGAAUGAAAAUACAAAAUUUAGACCUGAUGUUGUGGUGCACAUCUGUAAUUCCAGCACUCAGGAAGCUAAGGCAGGAGAAAUUUUAAAUUCAAGGUCAGCCCGAGAUACAUAGCAGACCCUGUCUCAACAAAACAAAAUAGAAAACAAAAUCUAGCCUCAUUUUGUGAGCUGAGGGUAGAGGAUGCGAUAGGGAGACAGAGGCUGAAAUAGGGAGAUUUUUAACAAUAUUCGUUUGGCAUAUCUAAUAUUGUAUGAUUAGAAUAGUAAUAUAAAAAUUAUUUUAAAAAUGUGUUAUAUUCCAAAGAUGGAUAAAGUGGGUGCUGAUAAAAUGGGAAAUUUGUACUAAUACAUUUUUUUAAAGCAUCAGUUUCAAACUUAUUGCACGGCUAUAAUUACUUUGAACUAGUUAUUUUUUCAUUUACAAACAUGUAGUCUUAUUAUUCUAGAAUGUUUGAUUUUCAGUCGGUAUAUACAUUCCAUAGGAGGAUACACACAACCAAUUUUAUUCUAAGACAGUGUUCUUGAAAAAGUGGUCACUAAGGAAACUAUAAAAAGACACUGCACUACACUGUUGUCAAAAUUGGGCUGUUUUCAAAUACAGUUCAGGAAUUUUAGCUUUCAAGUAGGAAAUGUAAUAAGGAUUUCAUUUACCAGGUAUGAUCAUAAAACAGUAAAAGUCCUUUUUGUAUGUUGCUCCUAAACUGGGACUGAAGAUAACUUCCAGUUCAGGAAACAGUCCCAAAAUUGUGUUGAGCAGUUCCAGCAUACUACAGUAAGAAUGGUUAUUCUUUAGUAUGGGUUUUGAGAAGCUAGCAUUUAUCUAGCUAGGUGGAGAAGUUCUGGAAUAUCUGCUAAAAAUAAUUUCCACGGUGCAUAAUAAUUAUAAGUAUCUUCUAGUUCCUGAUACGAUUUUUUUCUCCUUUUGGCAGGG
Molecule: non-coding RNA, 9410 nt
Organism: Castor canadensis (American beaver)
Lineage: Eukaryota; Metazoa; Chordata; Mammalia; Rodentia; Castoridae
Source: RefSeq, a predicted model, not a curated record